Molecule: ribosomal RNA, 426 nt
Filed under: uncultured bacterium
Lineage: Bacteria
Description: bacterial SSU rRNA
Rfam family: Bacterial small subunit ribosomal RNA
Source: RNAcentral
GUAAGGAAUCUUCCACAAUGGGGGCAACCCUGAUGGAGCAAUACCGCGUGCAGGAUGAAGCGUUUCGGCGUGUAAACUGCUUUUAUCUGUGAUGAUUAUGACAGUAGCAGAAGAAUAAGGAUCGGCUAACUACGUGCCAGCAGCCGCGGUAAUACGUAGGAUCCAAGCGUUAUCCGGAAUUACUGGGCGUAAAGCGUCUGUAGGCGGCUUUUUAAGUCGGGUGCGAAAUCUUGCGGCUCAACCGUAUAGACUGUGCUCGAAACUAUUAAGCUAGAGGUAGGUAGAGGCAAGUGGAAUUUCUGGUGUAGGAGUGACAUCCGUAGAUAUCAGAAGGAACACCAAUGGCGAAGGCAGCUUGCUGGGCCUUACCUGACGCUCAGAGACGAAAGCGUGGGGAGCGAACGGGAUUAGAAACCCCGGUAGUCC